AUGUGCUACAUACGAAUAAAUUGGAGUAAGCCUGUCCUAUUUUGGAGCCUGGGAGCCCAUAGGAGUGCUUUCACUAAGUGGGCUAACAGGAAGGAGAAUCAAGAAAGAAAUUAUUUAGGCAUAGGUAGUUCAGUGAAGAGAUUAGAAUCUAAAAGAAAAUGGUAAAGAAACUUUAACCCUUAGGAAGUGUUAAAAAAAGAACAUUACAAGUUUGAUAUUAAGCUUUUAACAGUGCUAAGUAGUUGGUUAAACUUAGCAUGAUGAAAGUAGGAUACGGAAAGAGCUAAGCUGGUGGUGAUCCUUAGUCACACAUUUACGGUAUAGUUAGUUGGACUUAUAUAUGGAUGAUGACUCUAUAGAGAUACUGGUAAAUUAAAAAGCUGUUCUCUAGCUUUGCAUGAUUUACUCUAAUCAUAAUGCUUGGGUCUCCUAAUGUGACUUUGGCAGGCGAUGAUUGCUAGAGGUUUCCAUGGUGACAGCAACACUCACAAAAUUUACUUCUUUUCCAAGUCUUCACUUGGUUUUACAGACUUCCUUUCCCUGGUGUGCCUUUUCGCUCUGAUAGGUGCUGCUGUCCUAUCAGAAAGACUCAUAUAAUUCUAACCAGCAAGAGUAUGGUUGGCUUGAUGCUGGUGCACAUUUACCAUCAGUAUGGAAAACAUUCAGCUAUUGCACAUAGGAACUCCACUUUAGGCCUCGUUUGGUAUCACUGCCCUUUUUUUUGUUUUCCAAAUGCAAUUUCUGUGUGAUAGGAUGCUUUGGUGGACGAAUUUCUCCCUUUUCGUCUUUGUUGGUAAGCUUGCUACGCACCGCAACAUUGGUUGUGUUCGUAAUGGCAUCUUCUUUUUCAAUGCCAAAAUAAAAGAGUGAAAAACAAAGGUUACUGCUGAAUUUUAUUUUUGUUACCAAACAAAGACCGCUAGUUAUAUAGAUUGAGUACAUUAGAAACUUGUAUUUGAAAAAGAAAAUCCUCCCUCCCUUUUUAAAAUAAAGCCCUUCUCGCCAUUGCAUGGAAUUUGUAUUUCAAAAAAGAAACUAAACAAUGGUGAGGAAACCAAACGAGGUCUUGGUUUUGCAUGCCUAACCUUCUGAAGAGAGUAAGGUGAAGUCGAACAUCUGGUGCAUCAGGAGACCAUUCGAUCAACUCUUUCCACAGAAGCAAUCAAAUAUUUUCUCUGCUUUCUAAUGGUAGUCUUAAUGAAUUGUCAUGUCCUUAGCAGGUGAUGGCUGAGUAUAUUAGCCGCCGCCUAACGUGCCUGAUAUUUUUCAAGAUGCCGCAUUGUAAAUUAUGAGUUCAGUUUGUUCAUAUUCCGCAGAGUAUCUUCUUCUGCAAGCAAAGAAAGGGUGGAGCGCCAAGGCAUUCAGUGACGGAACACAUUUGUGUGCAAAGAAAGGGUCUUGAUGCUGGCUCAUCUGGGUCUGCAACUCUUAAUUUUUUAUUGUAAUGAAAGCAAGGGAGAGAUCACCUAAGUACGAAGUACUAAAUUAUUAUUUACUAUUUGUUGAAGUUGGGAUUUAUGUAUCAUUGGCUUCUUUAUAAUAUCGUAGUUUUUGUGA
Molecule: long non-coding RNA, 1557 nt
Organism: Ananas comosus (pineapple)
Lineage: Eukaryota; Viridiplantae; Streptophyta; Magnoliopsida; Poales; Bromeliaceae
Exons: 2
Source: RefSeq, a predicted model, not a curated record